Long non-coding RNA from Felis catus (domestic cat), 714 nucleotides. RefSeq lists it as uncharacterized. The record is from RefSeq and is a predicted model, not a curated record. The transcript is spliced from 3 exons. NCBI's taxonomy places the organism in Eukaryota, Metazoa, Chordata, Mammalia, Carnivora, Felidae.
UGGGAGGGACCGAGUGAGCUGCGCGCUGAGCUCCCGCUCUGCUGCGUGUUCCGGGCUCAGAAUGCCUUCUACUCCCGUGACUUUAGUACCCUUAGAAUGAGUUCGUGGCUUUAGCAAUUCCUGUGUUUCUAGCUCUCUGGAAGGCAUAUUCCAGGACAGGAAGACAAGUAAUUGAGUUUCUAUUCGGAAAUGAGGGGCUCCUCUCUGAGCAGCUAUUUUUCCACAGCAGGGAAUGAAAACUUGAUCUGGCUAAAGCUCCAGAUUAUGUCCAAAUGACUUGGUAGAGAAGAAAAAUUCUUCAGUCUUCUAUCUUUCAACAAAUUCUGCUCAAGACACAGUGAAAAAUGGCCAUCUAGGAAAUGAGUUCUCGCCAACACACCAAAUCUACCAGCACCAUGCUCUUGGACUUCACAGCCUCCUGAACUACAAGCCAUCCAGUUAAUGAUACUUCUGUUAUAGCAAAGUCAGUUGGGAUUUUUCUUACGGACUGGAUUAAUGGUGAGACACCACCACUCUUACACAUGAGGAGACUCAAGAGAACAAGAUCUAGCAUAAGAGUGGAGACUGCAGGUUUACAGAAAAGGCAUAGAAAACCUUAGGACACCAGUAGAUAGAGACAUCAAUAUUUUUAAAUUUUUUUAUUGUUUUAUUAUUUAUUUUUGAGAGAGAGAGACUAAAUGCGAGUGGUAGAGGGGCAGAGAGAGAGAGACAGAG